AGCAGCCGCGGUAAUUCCAGCUCCAAUAGCGUAUAUUAAAGUUGUUGCAGUUAAAAAGCUCGUAGUUGAAUUUCGGGAUCAAUGCGUCGGUCGUGCCUUCGGUACGUACUAGCGUCAUUGAUUCCUCCCUUCUGAAGAACCGUGAUGUCAUUAAUUUGGUGUUACGGGGAAUCAGGACUGUUACCUUGAAAAAAUUAGAGUGUUUAAAGCAGGCUAACGCUUGAAUACAUUAGCAUGGAAUAAUGAAAUAGGACGUUCGAACCUAUUUUGUUGGUUUCUAGGAUCGACGUAAUGAUUAAUAGGGAUAGUUGGGGGCAUUAGUAUUCAAUUGUCAGAGGUGAAAUUCUUGGAUUUAUUGAAGACUAACUACUGCGAAAGCAUUUGCCAAGGAUGUUUUCAUUAAUCAAGAACGAAAGUUAGGGGAUCGAAGACGAUCAGAUACCGUCGUAGUCUUAACCAUAAACUAUGCCGACUAGGGAUCGGAUGAUGUUAAUUUUUUAAUGUACUCAUUCGGCGCCUU
This 520-nucleotide unclassified non-coding RNA is filed under the name uncultured Glomus. RNAcentral describes it as "SSU rRNA". It matches the Rfam family "Eukaryotic small subunit ribosomal RNA", at positions 569 to 1089 of the family's 1831-position model. The record is from RNAcentral. Lineage: Eukaryota; Fungi; Glomeromycota; Glomeromycetes; Glomerales; Glomeraceae.